Non-coding RNA from Tumebacillus sp., 100 nucleotides. The record is from Rfam. NCBI's taxonomy places the organism in Bacteria, Bacillati, Bacillota, Bacilli, Caryophanales, Alicyclobacillaceae.
GGGACGGUAUCCAAUUUGUGAACUGUACUCCGCCUGCAAGCACAGCAUCAGCAAUUUUAACUGAAUCUGCUCUGAGCCGAAUGCGGACCGAGACAGGACA